RNAcentral lists this ribosomal RNA (440 nucleotides) under uncultured bacterium. RNAcentral describes it as "partial 16S ribosomal RNA". It matches the Rfam family "Bacterial small subunit ribosomal RNA", at positions 338 to 795 of the family's 1533-position model. The record is from RNAcentral.
CCUACGGGAGGCAGCAGUGGGGAAUAUUGCACAAUGGGGGAAACCCUGAUGCAGCGACGUCGCGUGAGUGAAGAAGUAUUUCUGUACGGAAAGCCCUAUCAGCAGGGCAGAAAAUGACGGUACCUGACUAAGAAGCCCCGGCUAACUACGUGCCAGCAGCCGCGGUAAUACGUAGGGGGCAAGCGUUAUCCGGAGUUACUGGGUGUAAAGGGAGCGUAGACGGCAGCGCAAGUCUGAAGUGAAAUCCCAUGGCUUAACCAUGGAACUGCUUUGGAAACUGUGCAGCUGGAGUGCAGGAGAGGUAAGCGGAAUUCCUAGUGUAGCGGUGAAAUGCGUAGAUAUUAGGAGGAACACCAGUGGCGAAGGCGGUCUGCUGAACAGCAACUGACGCUGAGGCGCGAAAGCGUGGGGAGCAAACAGGAUUAGAUACCCCAGUAGUC